GAUGAACGCUGGCGGCGUGCCUAAUACAUGCAAGUCGAGCGAACGGACGAGAAGCUUGCUUCUCUGAUGUUAGCGGCGGACGGGUGAGUAACACGUGGAUAACCUACCUAUAAGACUGGGAUAACUUCGGGAAACCGGAGCUAAUACCGGAUAAUAUUUUGAACCGCAUGGUUCAAACGUGAAAGACGGUCUUGCUGUCACUUAUAGAUGGAUCCGCGCUGCAUUAGCUAGUUGGUAAGGUAACGGCUUACCAAGGCAACGAUGCAUAGCCGACCUGAGAGGGUGAUCGGCCACACUGGAACUGGGACACGGUCCAGACUCCUACGGGAGGCAGCAGUAGGGAAUCUUCCGCAAUGGGCGAAAGCCUGACGGAGCAACGCCGCGUGAGUGAUGAAGGUCUUCGGAUCGUAAAACUCUGUUAUUAGGGAAGAACAUAUGUGUAAGUAACUGUGCACAUCUUGACGGUACCUAAUCAGAAAGCCACGGCUAACUACGUGCCAGCAGCCGCGGUAAUACGUAGGUGGCAAGCGUUAUCCGGAAUUAUUGGGCGUAAAGCGCGCGUAGGCGGUUUUUUAAGUCUGAUGUGAAAGCCCACGGCUCAACCGUGGAGGGUCAUUGGAAACUGGAAAACUUGAGUGCAGAAGAGGAAAGUGGAAUUCCAUGUGUAGCGGUGAAAUGCGCAGAGAUAUGGAGGAACACCAGUGGCGAAGGCGACUUUCUGGUCUGUAACUGACGCUGAUGUGCGAAAGCGUGGGGAUCAAACAGGAUUAGAUACCCUGGUAGUCCACGCCGUAAACGAUGAGUGCUAAGUGUUAGGGGGUUUCCGCCCCUUAGUGCUGCAGCUAACGCAUUAAGCACUCCGCCUGGGGAGUACGACCGCAAGGUUGAAACUCAAAGGAAUUGACGGGGACCCGCACAAGCGGUGGAGCAUGUGGUUUAAUUCGAAGCAACGCGAAGAACCUUACCAAAUCUUGACAUCCUUUGACAACUCUAGAGAUAGAGCCUUCUCCUUCGGGGGACAAAGUGACAGGUGGUGCAUGGUUGUCGUCAGCUCGUGUCGUGAGAUGUUGGGUUAAGUCCCGCAACGAGCGCAACCCUUAAGCUUAGUUGCCAUCAUUAAGUUGGGCACUCUAAGUUGACUGCCGGUGACAAACCGGAGGAAGGUGGGGAUGACGUCAAAUCAUCAUGCCCCUUAUGAUUUGGGCUACACACGUGCUACAAUGGACAAUACAAAGGGCAGCGAAACCGCGAGGUCAAGCAAAUCCCAUAAGGUUGUUCUCAGUUCGGAUUGUAGUCUGCAACUCGACUACAUGAAGCUGGAAUCGCUAGUAAUCGUAGAUCAGCAUGCUACGGUGAAUACGUUCCCGGGUCU
RNAcentral lists this ribosomal RNA (1372 nucleotides) under uncultured bacterium. Its description in RNAcentral is "bacterial SSU rRNA". It matches the Rfam family "Bacterial small subunit ribosomal RNA", at positions 28 to 1381 of the family's 1533-position model. The record is from RNAcentral.